Molecule: long non-coding RNA, 760 nt
Organism: Oryza brachyantha (malo sina)
Lineage: Eukaryota; Viridiplantae; Streptophyta; Magnoliopsida; Poales; Poaceae
Exons: 3
Source: RefSeq, a predicted model, not a curated record
CAGUGUGUUCGUGUCAUCGAUAAAGCAAAGUUGACGAUAUAUCCAACUGCAACAGAUAGGUCAAAACUUCUAUAUGUGCUGCAUAUCCUUAAAUCCAUGCUUCCAGAAGUGAACGUCAGGGUUAUCAUUUAUGAAGAUGUGUGCUGGUAGAUGUGCCAUUUUGGUGCUAUUUAUGACCUUUCUGCUAAUGAAUCCAGGGUAUUCGAACUAUUGAAAGAGCUGCUAUCAGCCAGACUGAAGACAGAUACACCUCAUUACUUCAAGGCGAGGACAAGCCUAGGAAAAUAUGACGUAAUCUGUCGGAGCUAAGCUUAAAGAAAAACGCGAUGAGGACAGCUUGAAGUUUGUUCAGAAGGCGGUUCACACACCGAGAAAACAGGUCGGCUUCUUUUGCGUCGCAACAGGCGGGCAGUGCAAGUCAUUAUGAUACACUGUUCUUUACAGACAUUGCCAGUUAAGCCACUCCAUUAUUUGGUGCCGUGGGUGCAAUAAGAUGAUGCUUCCGCUCUUAUCUGUUGGAUUAUUACUUUUGUACGUCAGGUCCACUGAAAAUAAACUGGUCAAUUUUGUAUGGACUACAAUUGUGUUGCUUUAUGUGGUUAUUUUUGCUACUGUUUGGUUUGCACCUGGUUUGCUUUUCGAUGGCUGCUCUCUACUUUUCUAUACAACGAGCUAUUGCCCUACAUGAUUAGCAAGAUUUUCCUUCCCAUUGCGUGUAAAUUUGUAAUCAAGUUGUUAUAUGGUUCGGUCACCAUAUGGU